This 73-nucleotide transfer RNA is filed under the name Camelus bactrianus (Bactrian camel). It matches the Rfam family "tRNA". From Rfam's summary of the family: Transfer RNA (tRNA) molecules are approximately 80 nucleotides in length. Their secondary structure includes four short double-helical elements and three loops (D, anti-codon, and T loops). RNAcentral also lists the same sequence under 3 other names. The record is from Rfam by way of RNAcentral. Lineage: Eukaryota; Metazoa; Chordata; Mammalia; Artiodactyla; Camelidae.
GAGAGUAUAGCUCAAGUGGUAGAGCGCAUGCUUAGCAUGCACAAGGUCCUGGGUUCAAUUCCCAGUACCUCCU